RNAcentral lists this ribosomal RNA (751 nucleotides) under Bacillus amyloliquefaciens. RNAcentral's name for it is "bacterial SSU rRNA". It matches the Rfam family "Bacterial small subunit ribosomal RNA", at positions 49 to 783 of the family's 1533-position model. Lineage: Bacteria; Bacillati; Bacillota; Bacilli; Caryophanales; Bacillaceae. The record is from RNAcentral.
CUAUACAUGCAGUCGAGCGGACAGAUGGGAGCUUGCUCCCUGAUGUUAGCGGCGGACGGGUGAGUAACACGUGGGUAACCUGCCUGUAAGACUGGGAUAACUCCGGGAAACCGGGGCUAAUACCGGAUGGUUGUCUGAACCGCAUGGUUCAGACAUAAAAGGUGGCUUCGGCUACCACUUACAGAUGGACCCGCGGCGCAUUAGCUAGUUGGUGAGGUAACGGCUCACCAAGGCGACGAUGCGUAGCCGACCUGAGAGGGUGAUCGGCCACACUGGGACUGAGACACGGCCCAGACUCCUACGGGAGGCAGCAGUAGGGAAUCUUCCGCAAUGGACGAAAGUCUGACGGAGCAACGCCGCGUGAGUGAUGAAGGUUUUCGGAUCGUAAAGCUCUGUUGUUAGGGAAGAACAAGUGCCGUUCAAAUAGGGCGGCACCUUGACGGUACCUAACCAGAAAGCCACGGCUAACUACGUGCCAGCAGCCGCGGUAAUACGUAGGUGGCAAGCGUUGUCCGGAAUUAUUGGGCGUAAAGGGCUCGCAGGCGGUUUCUUAAGUCUGAUGUGAAAGCCCCCGGCUCAACCGGGGAGGGUCAUUGGAAACUGGGGAACUUGAGUGCAGAAGAGGAGAGUGGAAUUCCACGUGUAGCGGUGAAAUGCGUAGAGAUGUGGAGGAACACCAGUGGCGAAGGCGACUCUCUGGUCUGUAACUGACGCUGAGGAGCGAAAGCGUGGGGAGCGAACAGGAUUAGAU